GUGCUAGAAAGCAACGAUAAUUACCUCCAGAGAACUUUAGGCGAACGAGAAUAGAGGACUCCGGACCUCAUGCGUCCCAAGGUGCCAAGGGGGACUAGAACCUCCAAGGCACUACCGAUAGCAAAUUCUAAUGUUUCUGGAGAUAAAUCCUUUGCAGACGACUUAAAUAAAGAACGGGGUAUUGUAAGUUGUAGAGUAGCCUUGUUGCUACGAUCUUCUGAGAUUAAGCCUUUGUUCUAAGAUUUGU
RNAcentral lists this ribosomal RNA (247 nucleotides) under Favites abdita. RNAcentral's name for it is "partial large subunit ribosomal RNA". It matches the Rfam family "Eukaryotic large subunit ribosomal RNA", at positions 3144 to 3401 of the family's 3401-position model. The record is from RNAcentral. Lineage: Eukaryota; Metazoa; Cnidaria; Anthozoa; Scleractinia; Merulinidae.